Molecule: ribosomal RNA, 550 nt
Filed under: fungal sp.
Lineage: Eukaryota; Fungi
Description: eukaryotic LSU rRNA
Rfam family: 5.8S ribosomal RNA (bases 196-349)
Source: RNAcentral
AAGUAAAAAUCGUAACAAGGUCUCCGUAGGUGAACCUGCGGAGGGAUCAUUACUGAGUGAGGGAGCAAUCCCGACCUCCAACCCUUUGUGAACGCAUCAUGUUGCUUCGGGGGCGACCCUGCCGUUCGCGGCAUUCCCCCCGGAGGUCAUCAAAACACUGCAUUCUUACGUCGGAGUAAAAAGUUAAUUUAAUAAAACUUUCAACAACGGAUCUCUUGGUUCUGGCAUCGAUGAAGAACGCAGCGAAAUGCGAUAAGUAAUGUGAAUUGCAGAAUUCAGUGAAUCAUCGAAUCUUUGAACGCACAUUGCGCCCCCUGGUAUUCCGGGGGGCAUGCCUGUUCGAGCGUCAUUUCACCACUCAAGCCUCGCUUGGUAUUGGGCGUCGCGAGUCUCUCGCGCGCCUCAAAGUCUCCGGCUGUACGGAUCGUCUCCCAGCGUUGUGGCAACUAUUUCGCAGUGGAGUUCGAGUCGUCGCGGCCGUUAAAUCUUUCAAAGGUUGACCUCGGAUCAGGUAGGGAUACCCGCUGAACUUAAGCAUAUCAAUAACCCG